This 253-nucleotide ribosomal RNA is filed under the name uncultured bacterium. Its description in RNAcentral is "partial 16S ribosomal RNA". It matches the Rfam family "Bacterial small subunit ribosomal RNA", at positions 524 to 776 of the family's 1533-position model. The record is from RNAcentral.
UACGUAGGUGGCAAGCGUUAUCCGGAAUUACUGGGUGUAAAGGGCGUGUAGGCGGUUAUGCAAGUUAGAUGUGAAAUCUCCCGGCUUAACUGGGAACGUGCAUCUGAAACUGCGUAACUAGAGGUAUAGAGAGGAAAGUGGAAUUCCUAGAGUAGCGGUAAAAUGCGUAGAUAUUAGGAGGAACACCAGUGGCGAAGGCGACUUUCUGGAUAUAACCUGACGCUAAGGCGCGAAAGCGUGGGGAGCAAACAGG